CUACGGGGGGCACCAGUGGGGAAUAUUGCACAAUGGGCGCAAGCCUGAUGUAGCCAUGCCGCGUGUAUGAAGAAGGCCUUCGGGUUGUAAAGUACUUUCAGCGGGGAGGAAGGGAGUAAAGUUAAUACCUUUGCUCAUUGACGUUACCCGCAGAAGAAGCACCGGCUAACUCCGUGCCAGCAGCCGCGGUAAUACGGAGGGUGCAAGCGUUAAUCGGAAUUACUGGGCGUAAAGCGCACGCAGGCGGUUUGUUAAGUCAGAUGUGAAAUCCCCGGGCUCAACCUGGGAACUGCAUCUGAUACUGGCAAGCUUGAGUCUCGUAGAGGGGGGUAGAAUUCCAGGUGUAGCGGUGAGAUGCGUAGAGAUCUGGAGGAAUACCGGUGGCGAAGGCGGCCCCCUGGACGAAGACUGACGCUCAGGUGCGAAAGCGUGGGGAGCAAACAGGAUUAGAUACCCGUGUAGUC
RNAcentral lists this ribosomal RNA (464 nucleotides) under uncultured bacterium. RNAcentral's name for it is "partial 16S ribosomal RNA". It matches the Rfam family "Bacterial small subunit ribosomal RNA", at positions 339 to 795 of the family's 1533-position model. The record is from RNAcentral.